This 123-nucleotide ribosomal RNA is filed under the name Pectobacterium wasabiae. RNAcentral describes it as "partial 16S ribosomal RNA". The stretch from base 1 to 74 matches the Rfam family "Bacterial small subunit ribosomal RNA", at positions 1460 to 1533 of the family's 1533-position model. Lineage: Bacteria; Pseudomonadati; Pseudomonadota; Gammaproteobacteria; Enterobacterales; Pectobacteriaceae. The record is from RNAcentral.
CUUUGUGAUUCAUGACUGGGGUGAAGUCGUAACAAGGUAACCGUAGGGGAACCUGCGGUUGGAUCACCUCCUUACCAAAAAGAUGUGUGUUGAGUGAAGUGCUCACACAGAUUGUCUGAUGAA